GGUUGCUUAAACCAAAAAAUAAAUAUCCAGAGCCAUCUUUAUGCAUAAUACAUGUACAAGCUGUUUGCAGCGGCGCAGGCGAUUGUAUUUUCAGUUGGGUGCCAUGCAAGAUGGAGCAGCUUGGUUGUGAAAUCAUAUGAGUUUCCAUUUGCGUCGACUCCUUGAUUUUCUGCUCCCCGCCUAACAACACGGGUUAAACUGCUAAGAGAUCGUGCUGGCCUCGCUGGAGCUUGGACUUGUCUC
RNAcentral lists this unclassified non-coding RNA (243 nucleotides) under Hevea brasiliensis (rubber tree). The record is from RNAcentral. Lineage: Eukaryota; Viridiplantae; Streptophyta; Magnoliopsida; Malpighiales; Euphorbiaceae.